RNAcentral lists this microRNA (23 nucleotides) under Homo sapiens (human). RNAcentral describes it as "hsa-miR-548s". Its record names the gene hsa-miR-548s. The record is from miRBase by way of RNAcentral. Lineage: Eukaryota; Metazoa; Chordata; Mammalia; Primates; Hominidae.
AUGGCCAAAACUGCAGUUAUUUU